AGGCCCUAUGCCCGAAAGUUAAGGACUACUUUGAUAGAGUAGAAAAUAGGGGUUCAAACCCCCUUAGUGCCUA
RNAcentral lists this transfer RNA (73 nucleotides) under Polypterus ornatipinnis (ornate bichir). RNAcentral describes it as "tRNA-Ile". It matches the Rfam family "tRNA". From Rfam's summary of the family: Transfer RNA (tRNA) molecules are approximately 80 nucleotides in length. Their secondary structure includes four short double-helical elements and three loops (D, anti-codon, and T loops). Further hydrogen bonds mediate the characteristic L-shaped molecular structure. tRNAs have two regions of fundamental functional importance: the anti-codon, which is responsible for specific mRNA codon recognition, and the 3' end, to which the tRNAs corresponding amino acid is attached (by aminoacyl-tRNA synthetases). tRNAs cope with the degeneracy of the genetic code in two manners: having more than one tRNA (with a specific anti-codon) for a particular amino acid; and 'wobble' base-pairing, i.e. permitting non-standard base-pairing at the 3rd anti-codon position. Lineage: Eukaryota; Metazoa; Chordata; Cladistia; Polypteriformes; Polypteridae. The record is from RNAcentral.